ACGUAGGGUGCGAGCGUUGUCCGGAAUUAUUGGGCGUAAAGGGCUCGUAGGCGGUUUGUCGCGUCGGGAGUGAAAUCCACUGGCUUAACUGGUGGCUUGCUUUCGAUACGGGCAGACUGGAGGUAUGCAGGGGAGAACGGAAUUCCUGGUGUAGCGGUGAAAUGCGCAGAUAUCAGGAGGAACACCGGUGGCGAAGGCGGUUCUCUGGGCAUGUCCUGACGCUGAGGAGCGAAAGUGUGGGGAGCGAACAGGAUUAGAUACCCUGGUAGUCCACACCGUAAACGUUGGGCGCUAGGUGUGGGAUCCAUUCCACGGGUUCCGCGCCGCAGCUAACGCAUUAAGCGCCCCGCCUGGGGAGUACGGCCGCAAGGCUA
This 374-nucleotide ribosomal RNA is filed under the name uncultured bacterium. Its description in RNAcentral is "bacterial SSU rRNA". It matches the Rfam family "Bacterial small subunit ribosomal RNA", at positions 525 to 896 of the family's 1533-position model. The record is from RNAcentral.